UUAAGCGACUAAGCGUACACGGUGGAUGCCCUGGCAGUCAGAGGCGAUGAAGGACGUGCUAAUCUGCGAAAAGCGUCGGUAAGGUGAUAUGAACCGUUAUAACCGGCGAUGUCCGAAUGGGGAAACCCAGUGUGAUUCGUCACACUAUCGUUAACUGAAUACAUAGGUUAACGAGGCGAACCGGGGGAACUGAAACAUCUAAGUACCCCGAGGAAAAGAAAUCAACCGAGAUUCCCCCAGUAGCGGCGAGCGAACGGGGAGCAGCCCAGAGUCUGAAUCAGCUUGUGUGUUAGUGGAACGGUCUGGAAAGUCCGACGGUACAGGGUGAUAGUCCCGUACACCAAAAUGCACAGGUUGUGAACUCGAAGAGUAGGGCGGGACACGUGGUAUCCUGUCUGAAUAUGGGGGGACCAUCCUCCAAGGCUAAAUACUCCUGACUGACCGAUAGUGAACCAGUACCGUGAGGGAAAGGCGAAAAGAACCCCGGCGAGGGGAGUGAAAAAGAACCUGAAACCGUGUACGUACAAGCAGUGGGAGCACCUUCGGGUGUGACUGCGUACCUUUUGUAUAAUGGGUCAGCGACUUAUAUUCUGUAGCAAGGUUAACCGUAUAGGGGAGCCGCAGGGAAACCGAGUCUUAACUGGGCGUUAAGUUGCAGGGUAUAGACCCGAAACCCGGUGAUCUAGCCAUGGGCAGGUUGAAGGUUGGGUAACACUAACUGGAGGACCGAACCGACUAAUGUUGAAAAAUUAGCGGAUGACUUGUGGCUGGGGGUGAAAGGCCAAUCAAACCGGGAGAUAGCUGGUUCUCCCCGAAAGCUAUUUAGGUAGCGCCUCGUGAACUCAUCUUCGGGGGUAGAGCACUGUUUCGGCUAGGGGGUCAUCCCGACUUACCAACCCGAUGCAAACUACGAAUACCGAAGAAUGUUAUCACGGGAGACACACGGCGGGUGCUAACGUCCGUCGUGAAGAGGGAAACAACCCAGACCGCCAGCUAAGGUCCCAAAGUCAUGGUUAAGUGGGAAACGAUGUGGGAAGGCACAGACAGCCAGGAUGUUGGCUUAGAAGCAGCCAUCAUUUAAAGAAAGCGUAAUAGCUCACUGGUCGAGUCGGCCUGCGCGGAAGAUGUAACGGGGCUAAACCAUGCACCGAAGCUGCGGCAGCGACACUAUGUGUUGUUGGGUAGGGGAGCGUUCUGUAAGCCUGCGAAGGUGACCUGUGAGGGUUGCUGGAGGUAUCAGAAGUGCGAAUGCUGACAUAAGUAACGAUAAAGCGGGUGAAAAGCCCGCUCGCCGGAAGACCAAGGGUUCCUGUCCAACGUUAAUCGGGGCAGGGUGAGUCGACCCCUAAGGCGAGGCCGAAAGGCGUAGUCGAUGGGAAACAGGUUAAUAUUCCUGUACUUGGUGUUACUGCGAAGGGGGGACGGAGAAGGCUAUGUUAGCCGGGCGACGGUUGUCCCGGUUUAAGCAUGUAGGCUGGUUGUCCAGGCAAAUCCGGAUAAUCAAGGCUGAGGUGUGAUGACGAGGUACUACGGUGCUGAAGUAACAAAUGCCCUGCUUCCAGGAAAAGCCUCUAAGCAUCAGGUAACAUUAAAUCGUACCCCAAACCGACACAGGUGGUCAGGUAGAGAAUACCAAGGCGCUUGAGAGAACUCGGGUGAAGGAACUAGGCAAAAUGGUGCCGUAACUUCGGGAGAAGGCACGCUGGUGUGUAGGUGAAGUCCCUGCGGAUGGAGCUGAGACCAGUCGAAGAUACCAGCUGGCUGCAACUGUUUAUUAAAAACACAGCACUGUGCAAACACGAAAGUGGACGUAUACGGUGUGACGCCUGCCCGGUGCCGGAAGGUUAAUUGAUGGGGUUAUCCGUAAGGAGAAGCUCUUGAUCGAAGCCCCGGUAAACGGCGGCCGUAACUAUAACGGUCCUAAGGUAGCGAAAUUCCUUGUCGGGUAAGUUCCGACCUGCACGAAUGGCGUAAUGAUGGCCAGGCUGUCUCCACCCGAGACUCAGUGAAAUUGAACUCGCUGUGAAGAUGCAGUGUACCCGCGGCAAGACGGAAAGACCCCGUGAACCUUUACUAUAGCUUGACACUGAACAUUGAGCCUUGAUGUGUAGGAUAGGUGGGAGGCUUUGAAGCGUGGACGCCAGUCUGCGUGGAGCCAACCUUGAAAUACCACCCUUUAAUGUUUGAUGUUCUAACGUUGGCCCCUUACCGGGGUUGCGGACAGUGUCUGGUGGGUAGUUUGACUGGGGCGGUCUCCUCCCAAAGCGUAACGGAGGAGCACGAAGGUUAGCUAAUCCUGGUCGGACAUCAGGAGGUUAGUGCAAUGGCAUAAGCUAGCUUGACUGCGAGCGUGACGGCGCGAGCAGGUGCGAAAGCAGGUCAUAGUGAUCCGGUGGUUCUGAAUGGAAGGGCCAUCGCUCAACGGAUAAAAGGUACUCCGGGGAUAACAGGCUGAUACCGCCCAAGAGUUCAUAUCGACGGCGGUGUUUGGCACCUCGAUGUCGGCUCAUCACAUCCUGGGGCUGAAGUAGGUCCCAAGGGUAUGGCUGUUCGCCAUUUAAAGUGGUACGCGAGCUGGGUUUAGAACGUCGUGAGACAGUUCGGUCCCUAUCUGCCGUGGGCGCUGGAGAAUUGAGGGGGGCUGCUCCUAGUACGAGAGGACCGGAGUGGACGCAUCACUGGUGUUCGGGUUGUCAUGCCAAUGGCACUGCCCGGUAGCUAAAUGCGGAAGAGAUAAGUGCUGAAAGCAUCUAAGCACGAAACUUGCCCCGAGAUGAGUUCUCCCUGAGACUUUAAGUCUCCUGAAGGAACGUUGAAGACGACGACGUUGAUAGGCCGGGUGUGUAAGCGCAGCGAUGCGUUGAGCUAACCGGUACUAAUGAACCGUGAGGCUUAACCUU
Molecule: ribosomal RNA, 2900 nt
Filed under: Klebsiella pneumoniae
Lineage: Bacteria; Pseudomonadati; Pseudomonadota; Gammaproteobacteria; Enterobacterales; Enterobacteriaceae
Description: bacterial LSU rRNA
Rfam family: Bacterial large subunit ribosomal RNA
Source: RNAcentral